UUAUGAUAUAUCAACUACAAUCAGUUAUCAACAACACUAAUUAAUUAUCCGCUAUCAGUUAUUAAUUGUAUUCAUAAUUAAAUCAAACAGAACCUACAAGUGGGUAAAAUUUUCAUGUUGUUAGAUCACAAGGGAAAUAUUUUUUUAUCUUAUUUAUGAAUCCUUAGGUAGAUGGUUUACAUUUAGAUAUCCUUAAAAAAAAAAAACUUUGAUACCCAUGAUGAGAAAUCAAGCAAAAGCUAGUCAAGCAUUCUACAACCUGAAAAUCCUGUAGAUGUAGAAAUUCUACCAAAACAUUAGGUAUGCAUUGGAUGGUUUUGUAGAAUUAUAAACAGUUCGGAUUUUUCAUUGAAAAAGUGAAUGGCCUAAGAAAGUGAGGUUUUAGAGUAGGUGAAGUUGGUAAAGUGCAGGAAGUCAUUAGUUUUGAUUUGGGGAAUCAUGCAACAGUUUCAUUACUUCUAUGAUGAAUUAUUGGGGUGCACCAUUUUCAUCACAACACAUACAUCCCAUCCCAUACUUGCCUAUAUCUACACACAUUUCACAAAAUUCAAUGGAAACUUCCAAUAUUAAUGAUAUCUAUUUCAAUUAUCUCUCUACUGAUAUGUGAUUAGGUAUCUGUAAUUGUUUGGUAGCCUCCUUUGUUUAUUUCUUCAAUUCGAAGCUGAAACUUUUUCAAUAUAAUUUAAGCGUUUUCCACCAUUAAUAACUUCGAAGGUGAGUGAUUGAAGUAGAACUAAUGCAUCAUAUUGUUUGAUUCAUGAUGUAAUGGUGAGGUUAAUCGACUGAGUAUUAAUUAUAUUAUUAUUAUUAUUGAGAGAGGACAAAUUAAGAGUAGAGACUCGAAUUUGACUCUGUCAAAUGAGUAAUAUGUUUUUAGCCAUUGAAUUAAAUCGCUAGGCAAUAUAAACAUGAGAUAAAUAUUUUAGAUUAAGUAGAAAAUUAGGAUUAACUUUCUCUUUCUAAUCUAAAAUAUUUCUAGUAGACUCCAAAAUUGUGGAAGGUGAUUAAUUGGUUAUCCAUUAACAUCAGAAAAUGUAUUCAUUUGACGAGAGUUGGGAUUAAUUCCAUGAAACUUUCUUACUAAGAAAGCAAUAUCAAUACCCACAAAAAUCACCCUUUCAAAAGGGAACUUUCUCUUCAUUCACAAGCCAUCAAUAAAAGACUUGCAUGCAAAAUCAUAAAUUCAAUUAUUUUCUUUUUUAUUUUUUUUUCAAAAUUAAUAUUAAUCAUACAAAACUUAGUGAUUAAACCUUUCAAUGCUAUAAAAAGCUUUAUCCAAUCCAUGUGGAGGUGUUGGAAUUCUAGUUGAGCAAGCCCUACUAGCAUAGCAGGUUACAAUUGUUGAUGGUGAUUAAACAGGCAGAAAGGUUGGGAGACUUUAACAUUUGCCCCUUUUUCUUUAUUGCAUUGGAGUCCCAGCUGGUCCAUUAAGCAUAUGAAUGUUUGAAAGGGUAUCAACUUUCCAAUAAUGUUCUUACAUCUCACCUUUUCUUAAACUUGUAGGCUAAAUUGAGUAGGCUUUAAGGUGUAAUAUAGUCCACAUAUUUCUUUCUCUCUUUAUAGUAAUGAUGCUUAAUUAAGAUCUGUUAAUCAUCAUUCAUUUUUGAAAGUUACAUAUAAAUGAAACUUACAAUGUAGAUGUACCAGAAGAGCACCAUCAUCUUCAACAGAAAAUUAAUAGCAUUAAGCU
This 1690-nucleotide unclassified non-coding RNA is filed under the name Hevea brasiliensis (rubber tree). The record is from RNAcentral. Lineage: Eukaryota; Viridiplantae; Streptophyta; Magnoliopsida; Malpighiales; Euphorbiaceae.